This 721-nucleotide small RNA is filed under the name Pongo abelii (Sumatran orangutan). RNAcentral's name for it is "retained intron". The record is from RNAcentral. Lineage: Eukaryota; Metazoa; Chordata; Mammalia; Primates; Hominidae.
CUGGCACAGUGUUGAUGUUCAAUAACUGUCGAAUGAAGGUUGGAAGGGCUUUGCCCUGAGCACUGAGGAGAGAGAGCUGGUUGUGUGGGACUUGAAGUCUGUCUCAGUUUCUUUAGGUGGGACUGACGCCCUUGGCCUUCCUCCAGGGAAGGCGUCCAGCAUCCAGAGGUAAGGAUUCUCCUGUGGACCUUGUGACCUCUGACUCCUUCCCCUUCUUCCCCCAGAGUUCAAGGAGGCCUUCUCCCUCUUUGACAAGGAUGGAGAUGGCACUAUCACCACCAAGGAGUUGGGGACAGUGAUGAGAUCCCUGGGACAGAACCCCACUGAAGCAGAGCUGCAGGAUAUGAUCAAUGAGGUGGAUGCAGAUGGGAACGGGACCAUUGACUUCCCGGAGUUCCUGACCAUGAUGGCCAGAAAGAUGAAGGACACAGACAGUGAGGAGGAGAUCCGAGAGGCGUUCCGUGUCUUUGACAAGGAUGGGAACGGCUACAUCAGCGCCGCAGAGCUGCGUCACGUAAUGACGAACCUGGGGGAGAAGCUGACCGAUGAGGAGGUGGAUGAGAUGAUCAGAGAGGCUGACAUCGAUGGAGAUGGCCAGGUCAAUUAUGAAGAGUUUGUACAGAUGAUGACUGCAAAGUGAAGGCCCCCCGGGCAGCUGGCGAUGCCCGUUCUCUAGAUCUCUCUGUUCUCGCGCGCGCACUCUCUCUUCAACACUCCCCUG